AACGAACGCUGGCGGCAUGCCUAACACAUGCAAGUCGAACGAAGCCUUCGGGCUUAGUGGCGCACGGGUGCGUAACGCGUGGGAAUCUGCCCUUAGGUACGGAAUAACUCAGGGAAACUUGUGCUAAUACCGUAUGAUGUCGAGAGACCAAAGAUUUAUCGCCUAGGGAUGAGCCCGCGUAGGAUUAGCUAGUUGGUGGGUAAAGGCCUACCAAGGCGAAGAUCGGUAGCUGGUCUGAGAGGAUGAUCAGCCACACUGGAACUGAGACACGGUCCAGACUCUACGGGAGGCAGCAGUGGGGAAUAUUGGACAAUGGGGGGAACCCUGAUCCAGCAAUGCCGCGUGCGUGAAGAAGGCC
RNAcentral lists this ribosomal RNA (358 nucleotides) under uncultured bacterium. RNAcentral's name for it is "bacterial SSU rRNA". It matches the Rfam family "Bacterial small subunit ribosomal RNA", at positions 29 to 416 of the family's 1533-position model. The record is from RNAcentral.